CACGCCGUAAACGUUGUCAACUUGAUGUGGGGGGAUUUAGUCCCCUCCGUAUCGAAGCUAACGCGAUAAGUUGACCGCCUGGGGACUACGGCCGCAAGGCUAAAACUCAAAGGAAUUGACGGGGGCCCGCACAAGCGGUGGAGCAUGUGGCUUAAUUCGAGGCAACGCGAAGAACCUUACCUGGGCUUGAAAUAUAGUUGACAGUCCGUGAAAGCGGAUCUCCCUUCGGGGCAAUUAUACAGGUGC
Molecule: ribosomal RNA, 246 nt
Filed under: uncultured Victivallis sp.
Lineage: Bacteria; Pseudomonadati; Lentisphaerota; Lentisphaeria; Victivallales; Victivallaceae
Description: partial 16S ribosomal RNA
Rfam family: Bacterial small subunit ribosomal RNA
Source: RNAcentral